UGGGUGAUUUUGUUGUUGAUUUAGAGAGGAGGAAGGUGUUGGGUUGGGGAUCGAGAAAGAGAUUUUUGGGAGGUUUUUUUUAGCUUGGGCAGCAAGCUAGGGAGGGGGUUUUUCACAGAGGAGAGAGGAGAGAAAUUUGAAAGAGCAUGAAGGGGAAAGCUUGAGAGGAUCAACUAAGCAAGGGAUUGGGUUUGUUGAGAUUUUGAUGAAUACUAAGAGAAUGAAGCAGAACAUCUGGAUACAUAGCUAGUCUCGCUGGAGGGGAGCCUUUCAGGUGUCUAAGUUAUAUCUUUGGGUCCUAUUUCCACUAAUUUUCCCACCUAUACACGAGCCUAUUGACUUCAACAUGAGAUAGGGCUUGGAUCAGUGAUUUCUUUAGUUCAUUUGAUGCUCUGUUUUCUUUUAUGCUUGCUCCCUUGCUAUUCACUCUCCGUUCCCAUGACUAUUUGUACCCCCGAGGAGAAGAGCUUAGCCGUUUUGAUCAUGAUGGACACUGAAGGGAGUGAGAUUCACAUGGAGAAAACUUGGUGGUGCUUCGUCGAUAAAAGCAGAGGAUGAUGAGAAAUGGAUUUUUAGCGUCCGAGCUUUCGAUUCACCUCCUCCAGAAUGCACUGUCAACAUCAACUAUGAUGGUUUCGCCGAAGAUGUGAAAGUUGGUGAUGAAUUCCUUGUGAAUGGUGGAAUUGUGAGGUUUGAUAUGAUUGAGAAGAUUGAUCCAGAUGUUAAGUGUCGGUGUACUCAUCCUGAACAAUGAUCUUAGUGUGGUUCGAAAUGAUUCCCUGCUUCUGCUCACAAGGAACUGCCUUCACAAGAAGCUCUUCAACUCCGUGUCUCCUGCCUACUGGAAAGAAUCUCCAGCAAAGUGACUAAAGUGGUCUUAUUGAGAUAUUAGGGUGCUUUGGUCAUUUGGGAAGAAUAAAUGAACUAGUUAAGGGCAUCAUGACAGCAAUUAAACACGGUGUUAAUCCCAUCCCUGUCCACAGUGGCCUUGGAGGUGCUUACUAUUUCAGAAAUACCAUAAUGAGGUCUGCCACAUUGGACACAGGGCUUUCUGAACAGGUUGCGUUUAUUCAAUCUAUGAGAAAUGAGAAGGCAAAUAGUUAUUGGGAAGCAGAGCUACCUCCUAUCAUGAAAAUAUCUCCACCGCAACUUGUAUGAUCAGGCAAAAGAGAUGAGAUCAAAGGAACCAUGGUUCGAAGCACACUCAAAUCAGCAAUUCUGUAAAUAUCUUUUCUACCUUGGGAAUAUCCGUACAAUUCAAUUGGAGUAUUUCCGUAAGUGAACCUAUGUUCUAGUUGAUCGGUUUGAAAAUGUUGACCAUGGGACUGCAUGGAGUCUAUAUUCAGCCAACAGUAAUGACAGAACCUUCCAUCUAAGCUCUCGACCUUUUCCAGCCAUGGCGCGAACACUUCCGUUUUCAAUGAUCUUAAGAUUCAGACUCACACUUUCAAAGCAUUCAAUCCUUGGAUUGCUCUUCCUGGAACUACUUCGCGCUCACUCCCACGCUCACCUCCUUCAGUCAUCGGAGUUGUUUCCAGUGCUAGGUGGCAUCCUAGGUUCCGUUUCUACAGCAUCCUCUGGUAGGGGACUGAUUCAUUUUGCUCCACUCUAAUAAAGCUUUGAACCGCCAUCUGUCGCCUCUCAAGGGCAUUAUAAUCGAGGCCAUUGUCCCCUUUCUCAUGACACUCAAGAAUCUCUCAAGACCAUGUAGGAUACCUCGGAUAUGCGCCUAAACUUGUGGCUGCAGUAGCGUAUGAAGGAAGACGGGAAACAACAGCCACUAAAGCAUCCUUAAAGAAGAAAGAGAGUGGGAAAUUGUCUGUUCUUUUGGGAUUUGAAACCUUGUGAUGAUGAAACAGCCAUGAAGAAGCUGGAAGAGGCUGCUCACAGUGUCGAAAUGCCAGGUCUCUUGUGGGAGCAUUCAACAUCAACCCACAAUCACAUCUCUAUCAGGUCUUGCUGUCGUUUUCUCAUUCCUAUGCCCGCAUGGCAUGCAUGGCAUGCAUGGCCAUCCUCAUCUUUCUACAUUCUUCAUACCCCAACACUCAACACCACACCCAUCUUCUCACACCUCAUACCCAACUGAAUUUGCCACUCACAUCCCCAAUCACCAUGCCCACUAAUCACUCUUUAUGCCUAUGCGACACGGGCCACAUUCGGAGAUAGAAAUUUCUCACCGGAAAAUCCAUCCAGCUUUAAAUUGGUGAUAUCUGUGGGUUUGAAUUCCUAUCCGAAAGCUUCAAGUCAUUUGAGUUUAAUGCAGCCGAGCCCAAUGUUGUCAUUACCGGGCAAUUCCAUACGCCAAGAAGGAGUCCAACUUACAAAGUCACUGUUACGGUUAUUUUGUGGUUAUCUCUCGAUGCACCACCCAAGAGCACGUGGCCCUUUGGAAUCUGAUAGUGUUCGUGUUCAUGAUAGUGAAGUAGAUGGGGGCUUGGCUCAAGGCGAUGUCUAUCAAAAGAACGGUGUUCCACUCCUGAUUCAGGCCGGGCAUGAUGCAUUGUAGUGAGAAUGGGUUUAUAUUUGCUGGGAGAUUCAGAAAAUCUCUUAGGUUUGAAUAGGCUUUCAAAGCAGAAGAUAAGGCUUGGGAUGGAAGCAUAUGUCUUAAAAAAGGGGAAUAAUGAAGAGUAUGGAUUUUUUUUAACCCAUGCCCCACGGGUAUUAUGCGCUAUGGCUGAUCAAAACCAUGCCAAUACCCUGAUGAAUGGACAUCUGACCUACUUGUUUGCCUCAUUGCUUCAGGUUCUAUUUGAUGCACCAUCUAGACCCACUGAGUCACAUAACCAGUAGAAAGCGCCUUCCACCAUUGAUCAUCCCAGACUCGAACAAUGUCCUUGAAAAUAACAGUGGUUUCGGACACAUAAGCAGAGCUCCACAAUGCCAUUGUUUAAUCAAGUGACUAUUCAAGCAUCCAAUCUGACUGCAGGGCCACCUUUGCUGGCCACUUGUGACAUGCAA
Long non-coding RNA from Vitis vinifera (wine grape), 2958 nucleotides. RefSeq lists it as uncharacterized. Lineage: Eukaryota; Viridiplantae; Streptophyta; Magnoliopsida; Vitales; Vitaceae. The record is from RefSeq and is a predicted model, not a curated record. The transcript is spliced from 2 exons.